CCUACGGGGCGCAGCAGCCGCGGUAAUACGGAGGAUGCGAGCGUUAUCCGGAUCUAUUGGGUUUAAAGGGUGCGUAGGCGGGCUUUUAAGUCAGCGGUAAAAAUUCGGGGCUCAACCCCGUCCGGCCGUUGAAACUGGGGGCCUUGAGUGGGCGAGAAGAAGGCGGAAUGCGUGGUGUAGCGGUGAAAUGCAUAGAUAUCACGCAGAACCCCGAUUGCGAAGGCAGCCUUCCGGCGCCCUAUUGACGCUGAGGCACGAAAGUGCGGGGAUCGAACAGGAUUAGAUACCCUGGUAGUCCGCUAGAU
This 305-nucleotide ribosomal RNA is filed under the name uncultured bacterium. RNAcentral's name for it is "bacterial SSU rRNA". It matches the Rfam family "Bacterial small subunit ribosomal RNA", at positions 500 to 803 of the family's 1533-position model. The record is from RNAcentral.